This 238-nucleotide long non-coding RNA is filed under the name Danio rerio (zebrafish). Its description in RNAcentral is "lncRNA si:ch73-190f9.7 (ENSDARG00000098684.2)". Lineage: Eukaryota; Metazoa; Chordata; Actinopteri; Cypriniformes; Danionidae. The record is from RNAcentral.
AGAUGCUGAUACAAAAGCAGCUUGCCUGCAGCAUCUAAAGUGGAAACAUCGUGAAGGAAAGAGCAGAAGAUCGGUAAUCAGGCGUGUCUCCCCCUCCUGGAGCAGUGCUGGUGUUGCACUCGUUGCUUUUUGAGUUUCCAGCUGCUAACCUACAGUGUAGGAGAAACCAUAGAGCGCUCUGAGGAUGAGCUGGACACGGUGCCCACUUCUGUGCUCAUUCAGGUCGUGGAGCUGGUAG